CUUGCACUUGAGAGGAUGUUCACCAGGAACUGCUGCCAGCCAUCUUAUUGUCCAUCCUGAGCCUGAGGACAAAGCAGGGCCAAGACCCGGAUGAGGGAAGUGGAAAGGCUAGGACAGAGUACACAAGGAGGCACUGGCCACACGCACAACUGGAAGAAACCCUGACAGCCUAGGCACAAGCCUGAACCAGACUGCUGGGGGAUGAGGGAAGACCAUGCACGGAGCAGAGAUGAACAAUCCCAGCUUAACCCUUUGAGACCAAAAGCCACAAGACAUCUUGAGCUGCUCAUAAAAACAUAAAAAGCUCAGCUCAAACCAACAAAGCCUGAACUCAACCUAAAGCGCCAAACCACAGAAUUGUGAGCUAAAUAAAUGGCUGUUGUGUUGUCACUAA
Long non-coding RNA from Hyaena hyaena (striped hyena), 394 nucleotides. RefSeq lists it as uncharacterized. The record is from RefSeq and is a predicted model, not a curated record. The transcript is spliced from 3 exons. NCBI's taxonomy places the organism in Eukaryota, Metazoa, Chordata, Mammalia, Carnivora, Hyaenidae.